UAGAAAUAGUUGAUUAUAUAUAUUUGAAUUUUUAAAUUUUAAAUUUUCAAACUUAAAUUUUCAAAUUUUCAAAAUUUUAAUUUAAAAUAUAAAAUUUUAAAAUUUUAAAUUUUAAAUCAUAAUUUUAAUUUUUUAAAUUAUAAGUUUCAAAUUUUUAAUUUUUAAAAUUUAAAUUCUAAAUUUUUAACUUUAAUUUCAAAAUUUUAAAUUCUAAGUAUAAAAU
RNAcentral lists this long non-coding RNA (223 nucleotides) under Ananas comosus (pineapple). RNAcentral describes it as "long non-coding RNA (ACOM_LNC003409)". The record is from RNAcentral. Lineage: Eukaryota; Viridiplantae; Streptophyta; Magnoliopsida; Poales; Bromeliaceae.